RNAcentral lists this ribosomal RNA (253 nucleotides) under uncultured bacterium. RNAcentral's name for it is "partial 16S ribosomal RNA". It matches the Rfam family "Bacterial small subunit ribosomal RNA", at positions 524 to 776 of the family's 1533-position model. The record is from RNAcentral.
UACGUAGGGUGCAAGCGUUAAUCGGAAUUACUGGGCGUAAAGCGUGCGUAGGCGGUGAUGUAAGUCAGGUGUGAAAUCCCCGGGCUUAACCUGGGAACUGCAUUUGUGACUGCAUCGCUGGAGUGCGGCAGAGGGGGAUGGAAUUCCGCGUGUAGCAGUGAAAUGCGUAGAUAUGCGGAGGAACACCGAUGGCGAAGGCAAUCCCCUGGGCCUGCACUGACGCUCAUGCACGAAAGCGUGGGGAGCAAACAGG